UACGUAGGGUCCAAGCGUUGUCCGGAGUUACUGGGCGUAAAGCGCGCGCAGGCGGUCUACUAAGCCCGGCGUGAAAGCCCCCGGCUCAACCGGGGAGGGUCGUCGGGGACUGGUGGACUUGAGGGCGGCAGGGGCUGGUGGAAUUCCCGGUGUAGUGGUGAAAUGCGUAGAGAUCGGGAGGAACACCAGUGGCGAAGGCGGUUGCCUGGAGCUUUGCUGACGCUGAGGCGCGAAAGCGUGGGGAGCGAUCCGG
RNAcentral lists this ribosomal RNA (253 nucleotides) under uncultured bacterium. RNAcentral's name for it is "partial 16S ribosomal RNA". It matches the Rfam family "Bacterial small subunit ribosomal RNA", at positions 524 to 776 of the family's 1533-position model. The record is from RNAcentral.